This 422-nucleotide ribosomal RNA is filed under the name uncultured archaeon. RNAcentral describes it as "partial 16S ribosomal RNA". It matches the Rfam family "Archaeal small subunit ribosomal RNA", at positions 323 to 746 of the family's 1478-position model. The record is from RNAcentral.
CUACGGGGCGCUCCAGCAAAGAAUCUUCUGCAAUGCGCGAAAGCGUGACAGAGCGAACCAGAGUGCUUUUCAACUUGAAAGGCUUUUGCUGAAUGUAAAAAGUUCGGCGAAUAAGGACUGGGAGAGACUGGUGCCAGCCGCCGCGGUAAUACCUGCGGUCCAAGUCGCAGCCAUUAUUAUUAGGUCUAAAACAUCCGUAGCUUGCCUUUUAAGUUUCUUGUGAAAUCCUGUGUCUCAAGCACAGGGCGCGCAAGAAAUACUAAUGGGCUAGAGACCGGAAGGCGUAGAAAGUAUGUCUAAAGUAGCGGUAAAAUGCAUUGAUCUUGGGCAGACUCACAAUAGCGAAGGCGUUCUACGAGGACGGUUCUGACAGUGAGGGAUGAAAGCCAGGGGCGCAAAAUGGAUUAGAUACCCGCGUAGUC